GAUGAACGCUGGCGGCGUGCCUAAUACAUGCAAGUCGAGCGAACAGACGAGGAGCUUGCUCCUUCGACGUUAGCGGCGGACGGGUGAGUAACACGUAGAUAACCUACCUAUAAGACUGGGAUAACUUCGGGAAACCGGAGCUAAUACCGGAUAAUAUUUCGAACCGCAUGGUUCGAUAGUGAAAGAUGGCUUUGCUAUCACUUAUAGAUGGAUCUGCGCCGUAUUAGCUAGUUGGUAAGGUAACGGCUUACCAAGGCAACGAUGCGUAGCCGACCUGAGAGGGUGAUCGGCCACACUGGAACUGAGACACGGUCCAGACUCCUACGGGAGGCAGCAGUAGGGAAUCUUCCGCAAUGGGCGAAAGCCUGACGGAGCAACGCCGCGUGAGUGAUGAAGGUCUUCGGAUCGUAAAACUCUGUUAUUAGGGAAGAACAAAUGUGUAAGUAACUGUGCACGUCUUGACGGUACCUAAUCAGAAAGCCACGGCUAACUACGUG
RNAcentral lists this ribosomal RNA (497 nucleotides) under uncultured bacterium. Its description in RNAcentral is "partial 16S ribosomal RNA". It matches the Rfam family "Bacterial small subunit ribosomal RNA", at positions 28 to 507 of the family's 1533-position model. The record is from RNAcentral.